Molecule: ribosomal RNA, 820 nt
Filed under: uncultured eukaryote
Lineage: Eukaryota
Description: SSU rRNA
Rfam family: Eukaryotic small subunit ribosomal RNA
Source: RNAcentral
CGGUGUUUAACUGGCGUGAUGUGGGACGUCCUACCGGUGGGCUUAGCCUCGCGAGGGGCGGCCCAACUAAUAUCCCGUCGCGGUGCUCUUUACUGAGUGUCGAGUCGGGCCGGUACGUUUACUUUGAACAAAUUAGAGUGCUUAAAGCAGGCUAUCCUCGCCUGAAUACUGCGUGCAUGGAAUAAUGGAAUAGGACCUCGGUUCUAUUUUGUUGGUUUUCGGAACCCCGAGGUAAUGAUUAAUAGGGACAGAUGGGGGCAUUCGUAUUGCGACGUUAGAGGUGAAAUUCUUGGAUCGUCGCAAGACGGGACAGAAGCGAAAGCAUUUGCCAAAAAUGUUUUCAUUAAUCAAGAACGAAAGUUAGAGGUUCGAAGGCGAUCAGAUACCGCCCUAGUUCUAACCAUAAACGAUGCCAGCUAGCGAUCCGCCGAAGUUCCUCCGAUGACUCGGCGGGCAGCUUCCGGGAAACCAAAGCUUUUGGGUUCCGGGGGAAGUAUGGUUGCAAAGCUGAAACUUAAAGGAAUUGACGGAAGGGCACCACCAGGAGUGGAGCCUGCGGCUUAAUUUGACUCAACACGGGAAACCUCACCAGGCCCAGACACCGGAAGGAUUGACAGAUUGAUAGCUCUUUCUUGAUUCGGUGGGUGGUGGUGCAUGGCCGUUCUUAGUUGGUGGAGCGAUUUGUCUGGUUAAUUCCGAUAACGAACGAGACUCUAGCCUGCUAAAUAGGCGUACCUUAUGGUAUCGCGAAGGCCCCCGGCUUCGGCCGGUGGGUUUUUACUACCAACGUACAAACAAAUCUUCUUAGAGGGACAGGCGG